UUCUGAUUUGUUUUGCAUGGCACACUUGCUCACCUGGUUUUCUCAGUUCCCUUCCUCCCUGUCUGUUCUGCUUUUGUCUCUGGAACACAGUGUGCCCUCAUGUGCUUGUUCUCAGCCCUUUCAGGCCUCUGCUCUCACACAGCUUGUUAUUAGUAAGGCACAGCUCUUAAAUUAGUAACUCAAGAUGCAGAGGCAGGAGACUAGCCAAAAGUUCAAGGCUAGCCUGGUCUACUUAAGUCAACUUGUGCUACAUAGCAAGAACACCUCCUGGUGGGACAUGUGGACUGGCCGAGGGCUUCCUAUGAGCUCCAUCUGGUCGGGCAGCUGUUGGUAAACACCCAACCUCUGGAUCCAUUAGACUUCCUGGCCAGACUUCCCUGGAGAAAGUCCCUGCUAAUCUCCUGCCCAUGGUCUUGGCCACUGGAGGGCCUCUUCUUGGUUACAGGGACCAGGUUUUUAUGGCCCCAGAUGCCUUCUAUCCUCCCAGAGCCUCUGCUCAAUCUCAUGUUGGGCCUGGGGAGGGCCACUGGUUUGCCUCAUAUGGUGAGCUGGGGAGAUGGUCUGUGGUUAACAGUUUCACUGCUUCUCAAACAGACCGAGGGCUGUGUACACUCAAAAUACAGGCAAAGCCUUGGUUUCCCAGAAACCAGGAGCAAAAACAAUUCUCUAGCCCCGUUUACUCCCAGCUCCAGCGAUCAGGGACAACCAGCUGUGGAGGGAGCUUUGGGUGCUCUUCUCCAGCCAGGCCACUGCCCUUGCUUGCCCUUCAGCUGCUGAAGGCUUCACACUCCCACAUGUGUUGUUCCUUACCCAUCACUGUUCAUCUGUUUAAUCACAGCCAAAAUCUAGGGGUGGCUGUCGUGGCCAAGGACUCCUGGGAAGAUCUGUCCACAGGAAUGACUGGAAGGUCAGGACUGUGGAAAGGCUGGAAUGCUGCAGCCCAUUGGCUAAUUACCUUACCCCAGGCUAGCUCUAGCCCUGGAAGUCAUCCUCUGCCCAUCUCUGUCUGUAUUAACAUCUUGCAGCUUGUAGCUAGGAAGUUUUUAGAGUCUAUUGGCUUAGCAGACCACUAGUUCUCCGCAGCCCUAAAGCUCAGAACAUCAUGAACAACAGCUUGGUCUUUAGAAGCCUCCCUGCCUCUCUGCAAUGGCCUCUCUGAUGCAUCACCGAUGUAAGCUAAACUUCCCUUGAUUUAUGACUUUCUUUGUUCUGAAUUGCUUCCACACUGGAAUAUGGAAUUUGAGAUAACUGAAAUCUCUGCUCCUGGGCUAUGGUCACUGACAAUGGUUCCAGAAUCAGCUCUGGCUUACUGCUGUUAAGAUGGAAGCAACAGCCUCUGUGUUGACACUGUCCUCUCUUAAGCUGCUCUUCACAGUGGGUGCCUUCAAUGUCCUGUCAGCAGUGCUUGAAGUGAGCGGGAUCUAACCCUGCGGUCUACGCAUCUCCAGUGAACCCACUAGAUGGGAGCCUUUCUGAAGCUGCCUCCUUUUAAGAGGAGUUGACAGUGCCUCUGUUCCUCACUGUGGCCUGACCCCACACUCAGGUAGAGCUGCUACCUUAGAUGCAGAAACUGAGACCCUGAGACACCACGUACUGCAGCCAAGGUUCUUUGCUUAGGCUGCUAUGGCUGAGGUGGAAUUUGAAUCUGGGUCUGCUGUGUUGGCAAAGAGAGAUCACUUUUUCAUGUGUGGGUGACAAGCGACACUCCACAAACAUCCGUCAAAGGCUCUAUCAAAGUUAAAAUCUGGCUUUUGUUUUGAGCAACUACUUUCAAGCUGUUAUACAAGUUGGAAAUACUGAGCCAAAAAAGAUUCCUAAGUACUCACUAGGGCACUGGCAUGGCACUGGGUAAUGUAGGUCAUGAGAGAAUCAGAUUUGAAUUCUGUAUAAACGACUCAGCUAUGAAGUAGGAAAUGCCCACAUCACAAGCCCGAUGUAGAGCUGGUCAGAAGAACAAAGUGUCACUCUCAGCUGCCAAGAGCAGAGCCAGCAUCCUGAAGGACACAUGUUCACGUUGUAUCUCGGGCAGAUGAAGAAAAUGGCAUACAUACAACAGGAGAGUGUCACAGCGCAUGGACCUAUUUGUAAAGGUAAUUCUAAACUUCAAGAAAGGGCUGCGGGCACAGCUUAGAGGUAGAACAUGUAUCCACGGGAAGCCUGAAAUGCCAUCCCUGGUACUACAACAAAACGAAACAAAAAACUUCAAAAUAAAAAACCCAAACCCCUCCCCCGCC
This 2234-nucleotide long non-coding RNA is filed under the name Mus musculus (house mouse). RNAcentral's name for it is "long non-coding RNA chr9:63248512-63250746". The record is from RNAcentral. Lineage: Eukaryota; Metazoa; Chordata; Mammalia; Rodentia; Muridae.